RNAcentral lists this non-coding RNA (23 nucleotides) under Arabidopsis thaliana (thale cress). Lineage: Eukaryota; Viridiplantae; Streptophyta; Magnoliopsida; Brassicales; Brassicaceae. The record is from RNAcentral.
CUGGUUCACUUUGAGGUAGCCUA